This 300-nucleotide ribosomal RNA is filed under the name uncultured beta proteobacterium. Its description in RNAcentral is "bacterial SSU rRNA". It matches the Rfam family "Bacterial small subunit ribosomal RNA", at positions 115 to 418 of the family's 1533-position model. Lineage: Bacteria; Pseudomonadati; Pseudomonadota; Betaproteobacteria. The record is from RNAcentral.
ACAUCGGAACGUGUCCUCUGGUGGGGAAUAACCUGGCGAAAGCCAGGCUAAUACCGCAUGAGCUCGGGAGAGGAAAGCGGGGGAUCGCAAGACCUCGCGCGAGAGGAGCGGCCGAUGUCCGAUUAGCUAGUUGGCGGGGUAAAGGCCCACCAAGGCGACGAUCGGUAGCUGGUCUGAGAGGAUGAUCAGCCACACUGGGACUGAGACACGGCCCAGACUCCUACGGGAGGCAGCAGUGGGGAAUUUUGGACAAUGGGGGCAACCCUGAUCCAGCCAUGCCGCGUGAGUGAAGAAGGCCUC